Molecule: ribosomal RNA, 253 nt
Filed under: uncultured bacterium
Lineage: Bacteria
Description: partial 16S ribosomal RNA
Rfam family: Bacterial small subunit ribosomal RNA
Source: RNAcentral
GACAGAGGGUGCAAACGUUGCUCGGAAUCACUGGGCGUAAAGGGCGUGUAGGCGGGAAAGUAAGUCGGGCGUGAAAUCCCUAGGCUCAACCUAGGAACUGCACUCGAAACUACUUUUCUAGAGUGCCGGAGAGGAAAGCGGAAUUCCUGGUGUAGAGGUGAAAUUCGUAGAUAUCAGGAGGAACACCAGUGGCGAAGGCGGCUUUCUGGACGGUAACUGACGCUGAGACGCGAAAGCGUGGGGAGCAAACAGG